UACCAAAGCGGUUGUGGGAAUCGAACCCACAGUGUUCCGCUUACCGGGCAGAUGUCAUGUCCACUAGGCUACCUUGGA
Non-coding RNA from Cordylochernes scorpioides, 78 nucleotides. The record is from the annotation of a GenBank genome assembly. Lineage: Eukaryota; Metazoa; Arthropoda; Arachnida; Pseudoscorpiones; Chernetidae.